This 69-nucleotide transfer RNA is filed under the name Marmota marmota marmota (Alpine marmot). It matches the Rfam family "tRNA". Rfam says of the family: Transfer RNA (tRNA) molecules are approximately 80 nucleotides in length. Their secondary structure includes four short double-helical elements and three loops (D, anti-codon, and T loops). Further hydrogen bonds mediate the characteristic L-shaped molecular structure. tRNAs have two regions of fundamental functional importance: the anti-codon, which is responsible for specific mRNA codon recognition, and the 3' end, to which the tRNAs corresponding amino acid is attached (by aminoacyl-tRNA synthetases). tRNAs cope with the degeneracy of the genetic code in two manners: having more than one tRNA (with a specific anti-codon) for a particular amino acid; and 'wobble' base-pairing, i.e. permitting non-standard base-pairing at the 3rd anti-codon position. RNAcentral also lists the same sequence under 3 other names. Lineage: Eukaryota; Metazoa; Chordata; Mammalia; Rodentia; Sciuridae. The record is from Rfam by way of RNAcentral.
GGGGUUAUGGCUCAGUGGUAGAGCACUCACCUAGAACAUGAGAGGUGCUGGGUUCGAUCCUCAGUACCA